Molecule: ribosomal RNA, 1414 nt
Filed under: metagenome
Description: bacterial LSU rRNA
Rfam family: Bacterial large subunit ribosomal RNA
Source: RNAcentral
UACGGGCCGGGAAUGGAAAGACCGGUACAAGCGGGGUAGGUGUAAAUAGGCAAAUCCGUUGUAUAAUCCGAAGACGUGAUGUGGAGCGAAAUAAAGUAGCAAAGCGUGUGAGCCAUGUGCCGAGAAAAGCUGCUAUUGUGUAAUGCGUGCCCGUACCGUAAACCGACACAGGUGGAUGAGGAGAGAAUCCUAAGGCCGACGGAAGAAGCAUUGUUAAGGAAUUCGGCAAAAUGACCCCGUAACUUCGGGAGAAGGGGUGCCUGCGAGAGCAGGCCGCAGAGAAUAGGCUCAAGCAACUGUUUAGCAAAAACACAGGUCUAUGCGAAACCGAAAGGUGAAGUAUAUGGGCUGACGCCUGCCCGGUGCUGGAAGGUUAAGAGGAGAGGUUAGCGUAAGCGAAGCUUUGAAUUUAAGCCCCAGUAAACGGCGGCCGUAACAAUAACGGUCCUAAGGUAGCGAAAUUCCUUGUCGGGUAAGUUCCGACCCGCACGAAAGGCGUAAUGAUUUGAGCACUGUCUCGACAAUGCAUCCGGUGAAAUUGAAGUACCAGUGAAGAUGCUGGUUACCCGCGCCAGGACGGAGAGACCCCAUGGAGCUUUACUCCAGUUUGAUACUGGGAUUCGGUACUGCAUGUACAGGAUAGGUGGGAGACGAAGAAGGAUGGACGCCAGUCUGUCCGGAGUCGCUGUUGGGAUACCACCCCUGUAGUACUGGGUUUCUAACCAGUUGCCAUGAACUGGCAAUGGGACAAUGUCAGGCGGGGAGUUUGACUGGGGCGGUCGCCUCCGAAAGGGUAUCGGAGGCGCCCAAAGGUUCCCUCAGAAUGGUUGGAAACCAUUUGAAGAGCGCAAAGGCAGAAGGGAGCUUGACUGCGACACCGACGGGUGGAGCAGGUACGAAAGUAGGAUUUAGUGAUCCGGUGGUAUAAAGUGGGAUUGCCAUCGCUCAACGGAUAAAAGCUACCCUGGGAUAACAGGCUUAUCACUACCAAGAGUUCACAUCGACGGAGUGGUUUGGCACCUCGAUGUCGGCUCAUCGCAUCCUGGGGCUGUAGCAGGUCCCAAGGGUUGGGCUGUUCGCCCAUUAAAGCGGUACGCGAGCUGGGUUCAGAACGUCGUGAGACAGUUCGGUCCCUAUCCGGCGCGGGCGGAGGAUAUUUGAGAGGAGCUGUCCUUAGUACGAGAGGACCGGGAUGGACGGACCACUGGUGUAUCUGUUGUCGACCAACGGCAUGGCAGAGUAGCCAAGUCUGGAAGGGAUAAACGCUGAAGGCAUCUAAGCGUGAAGCCCCCCUCAAGAUGAGAUAUCCCUCCUUCGGGAGUAAGACCCCUUGAAGACUACAAGGUAGAUAGGGCAGAGGUGGAAGCAUGGCAACAUGUGGAGCUGACUGUUACUAAUAGGUCGAGGGCUUAAU